Molecule: ribosomal RNA, 253 nt
Filed under: uncultured bacterium
Lineage: Bacteria
Description: partial 16S ribosomal RNA
Rfam family: Bacterial small subunit ribosomal RNA
Source: RNAcentral
UACGUAGGGACCAAGCGUUGUUCGGAUUUACUGGGCGUAAAGGGCGCGUAGGCGGUUCGGUAAGUCACUUGUGAAAUCUCUGAGCUUAACUCAGAACGGCCAAGUGAUACUGCAGUGCUAGAGUGUGGAAGGGGCAAUCGGAAUUCUUGGUGUAGCGGUGAAAUGCGUAGAUAUCAGGAGGAACACCUGAGGUGAAGGCGGGUUGCUGGGCCAACACUGACGCUGAGGCGCGAAAGCCAGGGGAGCAAACGGG